This 52-nucleotide transfer RNA is filed under the name Leipothrix sp. 1 XFX-2017. RNAcentral's name for it is "tRNA-Ser". Lineage: Eukaryota; Metazoa; Arthropoda; Arachnida; Trombidiformes; Eriophyidae. The record is from RNAcentral.
AGUCUUGGAAUUUUUAUUUUGAAAAUAAAACUAAAAGAAGACUUAAAGCAUU